This 418-nucleotide ribosomal RNA is filed under the name uncultured microorganism. RNAcentral describes it as "bacterial SSU rRNA". It matches the Rfam family "Bacterial small subunit ribosomal RNA", at positions 9 to 422 of the family's 1533-position model. The record is from RNAcentral.
GAGUUUGAUCAUGGCUCAGAUUGAACGCUGGCGGCAUGCCUUACACAUGCAAGUCGAACGGCAGCAUGAUCUAGCUUGCUAGAUUGAUGGCGAGUGGCGAACGGGUGAGUAAUACAUCGGAACGUGCCCUGUAGUGGGGGAUAACUAGUCGAAAGAUUAGCUAAUACCGCAUACGACCUGAGGGUGAAAGUGGGGGACCGCAAGGCCUCAUGCUAUAGGAGCGGCCGAUGUCUGAUUAGCUAGUUGGUGGGGUAAAGGCCCACCAAGGCGACGAUCAGUAGCUGGUCUGAGAGGACGAUCAGCCACACUGGGACUGAGACACGGGCCCAGACUCCUACGGGAGGCAGCAGUGGGGAAUUUUGGACAAUGGGCGAAAGCCUGAUCCAGCAAUGCCGCGUGUGUGAAGAAGGCCUGGUGU